RNAcentral lists this long non-coding RNA (1169 nucleotides) under Malus domestica (apple). Its description in RNAcentral is "long non-coding RNA (MDOM_LNC019318)". The record is from RNAcentral. Lineage: Eukaryota; Viridiplantae; Streptophyta; Magnoliopsida; Rosales; Rosaceae.
UCUAGAGAAUGUCACCUCACAAUGAUAUGAUGUUGGCUCCAUUGCACUUAGUUAAGUCAUUCCCACCAUGUUUAGUUCAUGAAGGGGUUCAAGAAUAGCCUCACAAUGAUAUGAUGUUGGCCAUCCUCGUUGCCUACACUCACCUCAUCAAGUAUGUAUAUAGACUCCUCCUGAGUGUAAGCACGCACUUUGUACUCCCCCAUGAUAGGGUGAAGCCGGUGUACGAGUCACAAACGAUCAGAUCUACCACGGUGGAAGGCCACGAAAGAGUGUUCAAAGCACUCUCACGCUUAUCAACUUAAUAAUGGUUUGGUUGAGGGUUUUAGGUCUCAUCACAUAUAAACAUACAUUUUAAUCUUAUUAAAACAAUUUUGGUCCUAUUACAAUUAUUGGUCCAUUUGAUUGUUUUAGUUGUAUAUAAUACUCCCACUAUGCUUAUAAAACGGUUUUUAAAGCAAGAGUAUAUGAUACUACUAACAUAAGGUUUGCAUUCAUUGAUGGACUAUAUAGUUGCCUUAGGGCCUUAGGAUGAUUAUGAACCUUUUAAUUAGAUCCAACACGAGCCUUGUGUUGAAUCUCGGUCUAGGGAUGGUGAUUGAUUUUAGUUACGCGUUUAAUCACAUUAAGGCGUGUUGUCUUAGGGCGUUGGACCCAACUACUUCAUUUUCAUGCAUAUCAAAUAAAGCAAGAAAGAAGUACUUCAAAGUAAAGGUGAGCUUAUGCUCAUUACAACAUUUGCAUAAAUCAAAUUACUUUAAAGUAAAGAAGAGCUUAUGCUCUUUUACAACAUUUGAUCAAAUCAAAUUACAACCAAAAUCUAAUCUACACAUUCCCAUGGUUCAAACAAAUUUGAAACGGCCUUUCACAUAGCUCAAUUAUUGUAGGCUUAGGUUCAUAAUCACCCUUUAAUUAAUUAACACUUUAACUAAUUAAAUUGAAUGCAACAUUUUCAUUUGGUUUUUGUAUCCAUAAAAUUGAUUUAAAUGGAGCUAAAUGAAAUGAAAAUCCAAUUCUCAUUUAAAGAGACAAAACAGUUUUGUUCUCUACGUAAUUUGGGCCAAUAUGCAAUAACCACAACUUUUGGGCUAUAUUGCAAAACUUUUGGGGUCACUUUGUAAAAACACAAAAGUCCACUACUUCAUGUAAUUACAACUAGAACCCAAAAUUUA